AACGUGCUCCGGGGUCGGUGAAAGUCCGAACCGGCGGUGAUAGUCCGCGACCCGCGACGAAGUGAAAACUUGGGAACGGUUGACCUGGUGAAAUUCCGGGACCGACGGUAAUGAGAUCGAAAGAUUUCUCAGUCCGGAUGAGAGGAAGCACGGC
Non-coding RNA from Leifsonia rubra CMS 76R, 154 nucleotides. NCBI's taxonomy places the organism in Bacteria, Bacillati, Actinomycetota, Actinomycetes, Micrococcales, Microbacteriaceae. The record is from Rfam.